This 508-nucleotide ribosomal RNA is filed under the name uncultured bacterium. Its description in RNAcentral is "bacterial SSU rRNA". It matches the Rfam family "Bacterial small subunit ribosomal RNA", at positions 355 to 863 of the family's 1533-position model. The record is from RNAcentral.
UGAGGAAUAUUGGGCAAUGGACGAAAGUCUGACCCAGCCAUGCCGCGUGGAGGAUGAAGGCCCUCUGGGUUGUAAACUUCUUUUAUUGGGGAAGAAAAGCACUGUUUCUACGGUGUCCGACGGUACCCAAGGAAUAAGCACCGGCUAACUCCGUGCCAGCAGCCGCGGUAAUACGGAGGGUGCAAGCGUUAUCCGGAUUUACUGGGUUUAAAGGUGCGUAGGCGGGCUAGUAAGUCAGAGGGUGAAAUCUCCAAGCUUAACUUGGAAACUGCCCCUGAUACUAUUAGUCUUGAAUAUCGAUGAGGUGGGCGGAAUACAUCAUGUAGCGGUGAAAUGCUUAGAUAUGAUGUAGAACACCGAUUGCGAAGGCAGCUCACUAACCGAUUAUUGACGCUGAGGCACGAAAGCGUGGGGAUCAAACAGGAUUAGAUACCCUGGUAGUCCACGCCCUAAACGAUGAUUACUCGACAUUGGCGAUACACUGUCAGUGUCCAAGCGAAAGCAUUAA